RNAcentral lists this unclassified non-coding RNA (362 nucleotides) under Fasciola gigantica. Lineage: Eukaryota; Metazoa; Platyhelminthes; Trematoda; Plagiorchiida; Fasciolidae. The record is from RNAcentral.
CUUAUAAACUAUCACGACGCCCAAAAAGUCGUGGCUUGGGUUUUGCCAGCUGGCGUGAUCUCCUCUAUGAGUAAUCAUGUGAGGUGCCAGAUCUAUGGCGUUUCCCUAAUGUAUCCGGAUGCACCCUUGUCUUGGCAGAAAGCCGUGGUGAGGUGCAGUGGCGGAAUCGUGGUUUAAUAAUCGGGUUGGUACUCAGUUGUCAGUGUGUUUGGCGAUCCCCUAGUCGGCACACUAAUGAUUUCUGGGAUAAUUCCAUACCAGGCACGUUCCGUCACUGUCACUUUGUCAUUGGUUUGAUGCCGAACUUGGUCAUGUGUCUGAUGCUAUUUCAUAUAGCGACGGUACCCUUCGUGGUCUGUCUU